RNAcentral lists this small RNA (79 nucleotides) under Arabidopsis thaliana (thale cress). Its description in RNAcentral is "ATSL266210". Lineage: Eukaryota; Viridiplantae; Streptophyta; Magnoliopsida; Brassicales; Brassicaceae. The record is from RNAcentral.
UUUUAAACUUCUGAUUUACUAUUCAUUGCUUAUCAGUUACUCCCUUAAUGGGAUCUUAUAAUCAAAAUUACUUCCAUAU